RNAcentral lists this ribosomal RNA (253 nucleotides) under uncultured bacterium. RNAcentral's name for it is "partial 16S ribosomal RNA". It matches the Rfam family "Bacterial small subunit ribosomal RNA", at positions 524 to 776 of the family's 1533-position model. The record is from RNAcentral.
UACAGAGGGUGCGAGCGUUAAUCGGAAUUACUGGGCGUAAAGCGCACGUAGUCGGCUUUGCAAGUCGGGUGUGAAAUCCCCGGGCUCAACCUGGGAACUGCAUCCGAGACUGCAUUGCUAGAGUAUGGGAGAGGGAAGCGGAAUUUCUGGUGUAGCAGUGAAAUUCGCAGAUAUCAGGAGGAACACCGGUGGCGAAGGCGGGACUCUGGGCCGAUACUGACGCUGAGGAGCGAAAGCGUGGGGAGCAAACAGG